Aethalodelphis obliquidens (Pacific white-sided dolphin) is the source of this 1773-nucleotide long non-coding RNA. RefSeq lists it as uncharacterized. The record is from RefSeq and is a predicted model, not a curated record. NCBI's taxonomy places the organism in Eukaryota, Metazoa, Chordata, Mammalia, Artiodactyla, Delphinidae. The transcript is spliced from 2 exons.
CCUUGUCUUUAGUUUCUGCGUUGCAGUAGCGGCUUGUGUGGUUUAUUGUUUCCGUGUAAUUUUCAGGUCCCCAGUAUGCUCCUCUCCUUUUUCCCCCAUCCCCCGCUUUCUUGCUAUCGUGGACUCUGGCGGUGUAAAAGCGUUUUUCUACUCGGCCCUGUGAUAAACCAUUUUUUUCGUGGGAUUUGUUUUCAGUGUGUUUCUCACGCACGAUUAGAGCGGUGGUGCUGGCUACCAUGUAAUCAAACGUUUUCCGGUUCCGAUCCGAUAUUAACAGAAAUAGAACACUUUCUGCUUGAAGGAAACUGACAGCGCCCCGCGAUCUCAAAAAAAGGAACAUCUCACGGCAUCUCGAAGUCUGUCUGAGCAUGUUCCGACCUUCCAGAGCAGCGGAAGAGAGCAACUGGGAAAAGAGGGGAAAAAAAGUUUUGUGUUCUCGGGGGGGGCGGAAGAAAAAACUAGGAUCGUUCACAGCGCAGGUGGACUGGGGAGAAGCCCUGAACACAUUUCCUUAUCGUUCGUUUGGAAUGGAUUUCGUGUCUUUUCACCAGGUAGAAACCUAAAAGAGACGGCCGCGGACACGCGAGUCGGGCGCCUCCUGCCAUCGCAGGUUCGGGGCGGGGUAACGAGAGUGCUCGGCGGGAGGCCGCUCCUGGGUCCUAGGGGCUGUGCGCGGCCUGGCUCAGCGGCGGGAGCAGCAGAGUAGGCGGUAGAGGGUUCCAUGGUGUAAUGGUGAGCACUCUGGACUCUGAAUCCAGCGAUCCGAGUUCAAAUCUCGGUGGGACCUUUCUCUUUAACUAGAAGAAGGAGAUUUUUUUUUACUCCUCAGAUGGGAUAUGCUUUCCCACUCCCGCGUCCCGGAGCGGGGCGGUCCGUGCGCUCCAUACGGACGGGGUGGACAGGUGCGGAGACGAGCCCGCGGCAUCUCCGCUGGGCCCCGGCGACUCUGCCCGUGGCUGGCCAUCGGAGGCCCCGGGCCAGGCGCGCAGCGACCGAGCCGGUGGCACCCCAUCGUUGGGUCACCCUGGGUCGCGGGGGCAAAAAACAGAGGCUGCGCCCACUGCGUCUUGCCCCGCGAGGGGGCUUCGCACCGCACGUCUUGUAACUAACUGCGCGCGUGUCCCUAAUUUCUCACUCCGAAGUCUAAAUUGGACAAGGAAAGCCGCUGUUAGGCUAAGAUUUGAACCUUGACUCCAGGAGAUCUCGUCGUUUCAUUCCAAGGUCGGCCAGAAGAAGGAGGAAGACCAAGGAUUCCGGUGUCCGAGGAGAGCAGGGAUCCCUGACCCACCUCCACCCAGGCCUUUGGGACACUUGCAGAUCUUAAGUCAAGGCUAGACUAUAGUGAAUAUGCCUUGUUUGGUUUGAUUUGAGUUGGAAACCACAUUCAUUUUUUAUCAUUAUCAAAUUAAAUUAAUCUUUUAAAUGUCACUUCUAGACAUUGAAAACACAAUGUGACAAAUGAACCUGUGUAUGCCUUUUGUGGAACAAGCAUAUGGAUAAGAACUCUCCGAAAAGACCAUAAAACACAAUAAUUUAUAUAUACCCCAGGACUGUGACAAAAUUUUUAAAACUGCUUUUCUCAGUUGUGUUAUUAUUGGCAUUGUUGGUAGUUCUUUAUUCUUUUGUCUGUAUAAUGCGGGAAAAAACAAAGGAGACUGUAAAAGAUAUUGUAUUUCUAUUACGCUCAGUGUCCUUAAAAACAAAAAUACUGGUAUUAGAGAAAAGAGAUGCAGAUGUACGAUAGACAUUCAAUAAAAAGCCUGUAGUUCUGAA